Oryctolagus cuniculus (rabbit) is the source of this 1354-nucleotide long non-coding RNA. RefSeq lists it as uncharacterized. NCBI's taxonomy places the organism in Eukaryota, Metazoa, Chordata, Mammalia, Lagomorpha, Leporidae. The record is from RefSeq and is a predicted model, not a curated record.
GCACCCCAACGGCGCCCUAACUCAGAAUUUCAAGGGCCAGCGCCCUAGUGCAGUUUGUGAGGCAGUUAUCCCAGGUGCUAACCGUACCGAGCGCUGAUUUUCCGGGGAGCUGUACAUCGUAUUUUGCUCUUACUUCUUCCAGGAGGAUUCCAAGGCAACAGAUGCACUGCUUUAGAAGAGGGGAAAAUAGCAGAAAAAGGGAAGGAAACGCAUUCCCAGGGAGCAGUGGGGAGAAAUCUCCAGUGGGAAUUGUACAGAAGGAAGAGGGAUGCUGUGGAUCGACGUGGGUGGUCAGAUGUGCAGGAAUGAGCUCGGAGGGAACACAGCAUGCAGCCGAGCACUGAAGGGUACCGUUGGAAGGCCAGGCUGGGGCCAGGUGACCCAGUGUCCUGAACUCUUGCAGAGAAACCCAAGCUGUCCAGGGAGUGGAGAGGCAAGCACGGUUGUGGCAACGGCAGGAUCCAGCUCGGACCUGGGCUCCAGCUCUGACUCUGACUCUGGCUUGGGCUUGUGCUCCCAUGGCCCUGAUAGGACGAGCUCCCAGAUAAGGAGGGCAGGUACACUCUGGAUCUCCCUCAAGGAUGUGAGUGCAAGGGUGCCCCACACAAUGGCAAGGCUAUGCAGUGAGGCUGCGGCCAGAAGCGUGCUCUACCAAUGGGGCUGCACCUGCUCCAGGCUCCGUGAGUCCUGAUGCACAGACAUCCGGCUGGAUCCCCCAGGGACAGAUGGCACACACAGCGUCUGGCAGCAGACCCAGGCCCGCCAGCUACUCCUGGGCCUCUGGGUCCUCAGGAACCCCCAGGGCUGCACCAGGGUCACCUCCUUGCCCUCGGCUCCUUCCUCUAGGGGGUCAAAUGCCAGUGUUCCUGAGCAAUUUCUACUGUAGGCCUGUCGCACGGGUCCAGGCUGAGCAGCAGACUCAGGAACCCUCCAGGGCUGGGCUGGCCGUACAUGGCAGCUCAUAGCUCCCCAGCUGGAUGCAGUCCCACAACUUGGCCUGGUCCUUCCCAUUGAAGGGCAGGUCCCCUGCCACCAUAGCGAAGAGGAUUACACCGAAACUCUAUAUGUCAGCAGCAAAUGCAGCAUAGGGCUCCCGCUGGAACACCUCCAGGGCGCUGUAUUCUGGAGUCCCACAGAAGCCCUGCAUCAGCGCACCCCUGGGCAGCUGGCAGCUGAGCCCAAAGUCCACCAGCUUCACAUUCAGUUCCGAGUCCAGCAUGAGGUCCCUCUGUACCACCUGCCGAGCAUGGCAGUGGCCCACUGCCGCCAGGAUCAGAUGGAACAUGGCCAUGGAAUGAGGCUCGGGCAAGCCUCUCCGCCUCUGCACCGGCUGCUGACCCAACCCACCUCCAGC